RNAcentral lists this ribosomal RNA (431 nucleotides) under uncultured Alphaproteobacteria bacterium. RNAcentral describes it as "bacterial SSU rRNA". It matches the Rfam family "Bacterial small subunit ribosomal RNA", at positions 29 to 505 of the family's 1533-position model. The record is from RNAcentral. Lineage: Bacteria; Pseudomonadati; Pseudomonadota; Alphaproteobacteria.
AACGAACGCUGGCGGCAGGCCUUACACAUGCAAGUCGAACGAGAUCUUCGGAUCUAGUGGCGCACGGGUGAGUAACGCGUGGCAAUCUACCUAUCACUCUGGAAUAACAGUUAGAAAUGACUGCUAAUGCCGGAUACUCCUUUCGAGGGAAAGAUUUAUCGGUGAUAGAUGAGGCCGCGUAUGAUUAGCUAGUUGGUGGGGUAAUGGCCUACCAAGGCGACGAUCAUUAGCUGGUCUGAGAGGAUGAUCAGCCACACUGGGACUGAGACACGGCCCAGACUCCUACGGGAGGCAGCAGUGGGGAAUAUUGGACAAUGGGCGCAAGCCUGAUCCAGCCAUGCCGCGUGAGUGAUGAAGGCCUUAGGGUUGUAAAGCUCUUUCAAUAGGGAAGAUAAUGACGGUACCUAUAGAAGAAGCACCGGCUAACUUCG